Molecule: ribosomal RNA, 392 nt
Filed under: uncultured bacterium
Lineage: Bacteria
Description: bacterial SSU rRNA
Rfam family: Bacterial small subunit ribosomal RNA
Source: RNAcentral
AGUGAACGCUGGCGGCAGGCCUAACACAUGCAAGUCGAACGGCAGCACGGCAGUAGCAAUACUGUGGGUGGCGAGUGGCGGACGGGUGAGGAAUACAUCGGGAUCUACCCUGUUGUGGGGGGAUAACGUAGGGAAACUUACGCUAAUACCGCAUAAGAACUGAGGUUGAAAGCGGCGGACCGCAAGGCGUCGCGCGAUUGGAUGAACCGAUGUCCGAUUAGCUAGUUGGCGGGGUAAAGCCCACCAAGGCGACGAUCGGUAGCUGGUCUGAGAGGACGACCAGCCACACUGGAACUGAGACACGGUCCAGACUCCUACGGGAGGCAGCAGUGGGGAAUUUUGGACAAUGGGCGAAAGCCUGAUCCAGCCAUGCCGCGUGUCUGAAGAAGGCC